RNAcentral lists this small RNA (1397 nucleotides) under Oryza sativa Japonica Group (Japanese rice). RNAcentral describes it as "misc RNA OsbHLH065". Lineage: Eukaryota; Viridiplantae; Streptophyta; Magnoliopsida; Poales; Poaceae. The record is from RNAcentral.
AAUGUCUCUCCGGCCCCUCUGAAUCCAUCCUUAAAGACUAAACCCUCCAUAAGCCUCCUCUCUCUCUUUCUUCCAGGAGACAGGUGACAAGGGGGAUAGAUACACAACGAUACUCCGCAGCGCAGGAGGAGGACACAUCCUUGAUUUCUGCCAUCGGAGGAGCUCCUGCCUCGGAGAUACACGAAGCUGCUACAUCUUCUUCCAGCUCAAUCGUAUCGACGCUUGCAUCUCUUUUGCUCAGAGUGAUCGUCGUUUUUCACAGCUUGGUAAGAUCACUUCACUCUUCUCCCUAGCUUCGGUAUUGAUCGAUCUUCCUCUCGCUGUGCCUGCAGCAAAUGUCUUUAAGCUCAUGUAAUCCGUGCCAUCUAUCACCUGUGUGUUCAUACUGUGUCACUAUCAGUAAGCCGGAUGCAUGUUAGGCUGUUGACCUGUUGUUAGCUGCACCGGCUAACUGUAGUGAGCAGUGACCUUAAUUUCUUUUGCACUACAUAGACUGCUUGUUCUUUUCUUCUUGAGAGAGAGAGAGAGAGAGAGAGAGAGGGAGGGAGGGAGGGCCAUAGCAUAAGCCAUGGAGGAGGAGGUGGAGUAUGGAGUAUGCAUGGUGUUCGUCCGUACGUACGUGUCAGCGAGCGAGAGCCUCGGUUGGCGCACGUCGUCCUUUCUGUAUAGCUGGCUCCUGGUUGUGUUUGAUCGAUCGUCUAGCUAACGUCGGAGACCAGAUUAAUUAGACAUGACCUGACGUGCUUAAUUAAGCUCUCCAGAAAUGAUUAAUUAGCUACCAAGUGGUCGUUGUGGCUGUGCUGCUGCUGCCGCUGCUGAUUGCGUCGCGACGAGGGUACUGAUGCUAGCGUCGCCAUGGUUAAAACUUAACUACGCUUAAAUUGCAGCCUGAUAAAAGAUCGAUACUACGGGUCAGGUGGCAGCUAUCCGUCAGGGUUUCAGUCUGAAGCGGUUUAGGUGAAGAGCUGGAGAAGGAGUAAAUGCAUGUGUGUGUUGCUGAUGAGAAUGAGAUCGCUCGGCUGCCGGUGCUUGGAAAACCACCCGCCCGGCCGACGCGUGCAUGCCGCUGCUAGUUGACAAAUUCCUCAAUCACACGCCCCCCGCCACCACCACCACCACCACCAGCAUGCAUGCAUCACCAAAACAGACGAGCGUUUUGUCCUUUUUUUCCAGAGCUUUUGUUCCACACCUCUCCCAUUUCUUCAGAUAGGAAAAAUUUAAAGAAAUAUAAGCUGGUGCAUGUAUAUCCUAAGUGGUGUUUGGUUGGAGGGACUAAAGUAGGGCUAAACUUUAACCCCUUUCUCGAAAACAUAAGUUAUAGGGGCUAAAGUUUAGCCCAUCUCUCCCAAACACCCCCCUAGUACUGCAGUACAUGGUUCAUGCAGGCUCAAAGUGAG